GGGAUUGCCCUAGUAACGGCGAGUGAAGCGGCAACAGCUCAAAUUUGAAAUCUGGCGCAAGCCCGAGUUGUAAUUUGUAGAGGAUGCUUCUGGGUAGCGGCCGGUCUAAGUUCCUUGGAACAGGACGUCAUAGAGGGUGAGAAUCCCGUAUGUGACUGGCUUGCACCCUCCACGUAGCUCCUUCGACGAGUCGAGUUGUUUGGGAAUGCAGCUCUAAAUGGGAGGUAAAUUUCUUCUAAAGCUAAAUACCGGCCAGAGACCGAUAGCGCACAAGUAGAGUGAUCGAAAGAUGAAAAGCACUUUGGAAAGAGAGUUAAAAAGCACGUGAAAUUGUUGAAAGGGAAGCGCCCGCAACCAGACUUUGCGGCGGUGUUCGGCUGGUCUUCUGACCGGUUUACUCGCCGCCGUGAGGCCAUCAUCGUCUGGGACCGCUGGAUAAGACCUGAGGAAUGUAGCUCCCUUCGGGGUGUGUUAUAGCCUUUGGUGAUGCAGCGCGUCUCGGGCGAGGUCCGCGCUUCGGCAAGGAUGAUGGCGUAAUGGUUGUCGGCGGCCCGUCUUGAAACACGGACCAAGGAGUCUAACAUCUAUGCGAGUGUUCGGGUGUCAAACCCCUACGCGUAAUGAAAGUGAACGGAGGUGGGAACUUUUUGUGCACCAUCGACCGAUCCUGAUGUCCUCGGAUGGAUUUGAGUAAGAGCAUAGCUGUUGGGACCCGAAAGAUGGUGAACUAUGCCUGAAUAGGGUGAAGCCAGAGGAAACUCUGGUGGAGGCUCGCAGCGGUUCUGACGUGCAAAUCGAUCGUCAAAUUUGGGUAUAGGGGCG
Molecule: ribosomal RNA, 822 nt
Filed under: Pseudocercospora tereticornis
Lineage: Eukaryota; Fungi; Ascomycota; Dothideomycetes; Mycosphaerellales; Mycosphaerellaceae
Description: eukaryotic LSU rRNA
Rfam family: Eukaryotic large subunit ribosomal RNA
Source: RNAcentral